AUUGAACGCUGGCGGCAGGCCUAACACAUGCAAGUCGAACGAGUGGCGGACGGGUGAGUAAUGUCUGGGAAACUGCCUGAUGGAGGGGGAUAACUACUGGAAACGGUAGCUAAUACCGCAUACCAUCGGAUGUGCCCAGAUGGGAUUAGCUAGUAGGUGGGGUAAAGGCUCACCUAGGCGACGAUCCCUAGCUGGUCUGAGAGGAAGACCAGCCACACGUGAAAGGAGUCACGGUCCAGACUCCUACGAGAGGGAGAAGUGGGAAAUAUGGAACAAUGGGCGAAAUCCUGAUGCAGCCAUGCCGCGUGUAUGAAGAAGGCCUUCGGGUUGUAAAGUACUUUCAGCGGGGAGGCGUUACCCGCAGAAGAAGCACCGGCUAACUCCGUGCCAGCAGCCGCGGUAAUAC
Molecule: ribosomal RNA, 406 nt
Filed under: uncultured bacterium
Lineage: Bacteria
Description: partial 16S ribosomal RNA
Rfam family: Bacterial small subunit ribosomal RNA
Source: RNAcentral